This 305-nucleotide ribosomal RNA is filed under the name uncultured bacterium. RNAcentral describes it as "bacterial SSU rRNA". It matches the Rfam family "Bacterial small subunit ribosomal RNA", at positions 334 to 636 of the family's 1533-position model. The record is from RNAcentral.
AAGGCCUACGGGGGGCAGCAGUGAGGAAUAUUGGUCAAUGGACGAGAGUCUGAACCAGCCAAGUAGCGUGAAGGAUGACUGCCCUAUGGGUUGUAAACUUCUUUUAUAUGGGAAUAAAACGUUCCACGUGUGGGAUUUUGUAUGUACCAUAUGAAUAAGGAUCGGCUAACUCCGUGCCAGCAGCCGCGGUAAUACGGAGGAUCCGAGCGUUAUCCGGAUUUAUUGGGUUUAAAGGGAGCGUAGGUGGAUUGUUAAGUCAGUUGUGAAAGUUUGCGGCUCAACCGUAAAAUUGCAGUUGAAACUGG